Molecule: long non-coding RNA, 529 nt
Organism: Portunus trituberculatus (swimming crab)
Lineage: Eukaryota; Metazoa; Arthropoda; Malacostraca; Decapoda; Portunidae
Exons: 3
Source: RefSeq, a predicted model, not a curated record
AUCUUAGUGAAGUGGUGCACCUUGGUGGCGCACCCCUGAAAAAGAAGAGAGCCGUGAGCAAGGCUGAAUCACCAGCGGAGACUGUGAGCAGCAAAACCUGUUGCCGGGAAGUGCUUGGUUGUACUUGCCGUGUUGCUGGAGUAGCUUGGCUGAGACUUCCAUCCCCCGUAAGGCGUGGACACACUCAGCCCCACCAGACACACCCACAGCAGGCCAGUCGUGCAGACUGCGGAGACCUUCAUUCUGGAAAACAUCGUAAUCAAGAUUGUGAGUCAUGAAGUGACUAUGAAUAGAAAUCAAUGAGGGAGUUGCAGUGACCGAUAUGCUCCGAUAACACAACAGACUCAAACAAGACUUGACCAGCCAGCCAGCCUCGAUAAGCCCCAGCCAGAAACAACUAUACCUGACUACCUCACACCAGCCAGAUCAGACUCAAAGCAAACGCAACUUAAUUAAAGAGUGAAGAGAAGAGGCAGAUCCAGAAAGUAAGUAGUACAUGUUACUCUAUUCUUUAUCUUGUCUGGUAUGU